Molecule: long non-coding RNA, 757 nt
Filed under: Rattus norvegicus (Norway rat)
Lineage: Eukaryota; Metazoa; Chordata; Mammalia; Rodentia; Muridae
Description: long non-coding RNA NONRATT027984
Source: RNAcentral
GGUGCUCCAUGCCCAGAUCCUAGAGAAAGACGCAGUGAUCAAGGUCCUUCAACAGCGUUCCAGGAAAGACCCUGGCAAGGCUACCCAGGGCACCCUACGGCCCGCCAAGUCGGUGCCGUCCAUCUUUGCAGCUGCAGUGGGGACUCAGGGCUGGCAAGGGUUCUCAACCAGCGAGCGACAAACUGAUGCACCUGCCCGACAGACAGUAGGUAUGAAGAGGCUUGCAGUGGGGUGGAAAGGUGUACAAAGUUUGGAAUGCAUAUUACCAGACUCUUUCUCAGAAUACACACCCACUGAGACCAGGGCUUCCUGACCCCUCUUUUAGGGGACCUGGCUUAUUCUUUGGCUCUCAUGACCCUGAAACCUCCUGUUAGUAGAGUGGAUGCUAGACCGCCAGCUGCUUGCUAAUAGAUCUAGUCAAGGUUCUACGGUUCCUGAGUGAAUACUAAGAAAUUCUAGAUUUCAGCCACAAGCAUCAAUGCCUAAUGUGACCCCACCUAUUCCCAUUUUCUAUCCAUUAGACAUCUUGAAAAUUAAGAGCUACCCAGUCCACAGGGUUUGCUUGGGGUGUCCUUCAUCAAGACCUUGUCUCCUACCUCAAGCAGUAUCCAUCAGUGUCCAUUCUUUCUUACAGACCGUGGACCAGCAGAAGAGCCCCCGGCCACACCUCCUCUCCCUGCCCACACCAAACAUGGCAGCAGAGACGGGAGCACCCAAACUGAUGGCCCUGCAGACAGCACCUCUGCCUGCUUGGCCU